Molecule: long non-coding RNA, 1310 nt
Organism: Pomacea canaliculata
Lineage: Eukaryota; Metazoa; Mollusca; Gastropoda; Architaenioglossa; Ampullariidae
Exons: 2
Source: RefSeq, a predicted model, not a curated record
UCGAACCACUCUCAGCCACUGCGAGAUUAAGUUGUUGGAUACGCCUUUGCGAAGUGAUCUGUUAUUUCAAACGAUCGAGCUAGUAUUCAGCGAUCGAGGGGUGUAUUAACUUUUUAUCAUCAAAACUUAAGUGAGCUGCAACUGUCGUGCUGUGCAGUCAAAUGUUUGUGUGGGUGUCACGAGCUCACGAAUUGCCUUCUCACACUGCGCAGGGGUCAACAAGUGCGGAUGUAUGUCUUGAAUGUAACAUUGUCAAUUGUGGUAGACUCGCGGAUCAAGGACGUGUUGUGAUGCAGCUCAAUAAAAAAUCAGCCCUACUUAAAUAAGAAGUGGAGAUCUCCAGAGACGGGAGCUAAUUUCCAAAUACCACAUAAGUAUGAACCCUCGUGCUUCAUAUUAAGAUGGGUGUAGCUACUAAAAUCAAGAACAUAUGGCUAUGCAGAUUGUUCAUUUCAGUACACAUUCUCCUCACAAUGUUACAUUGUCCCAGUGUGCAGUGGCUAUUGUUAUUAAUAAUCUAUUUAACUGUAAAAAAAAAUCUACCAGUGUAGAAAUGAUUUACCACUUUACUAUAUUCACAAUCUAAAUGCUUAUAAAUUCCAGCUGUUAUUAGCUUUAAAGAAACGAAAAGACCCUCAGCAUAUUAGCGGGAUUUGUGAAGAUAUUACUAAGGAUGGUGAACUAAAUAAAUGAAUAAAAUGUAUAUGUGAGAUAUUGUACAUUGCAAUGGAUGGGAGUGUGUACCCCUUGGAGGGUGAAUAAAUAGUAAAGAAUACAGAAUGUAUGUGACAGGGAGAGAGAGAGAGAGCAAAAGUUAGGUUUUAUUUCAACGGAUAAGACAGUAUGGUACUAUGUGGAAAUAGUAAUCACGGUCUUGUAAUCAGUGAGUUGAGGCGUGAUGUCUCAUUUGCAUUGGGGCAUUUCAUUACAUACAAUCCAACACAUGCAGACAUAAAUUAUUACACUGGAAAUUCAUCACUGCAUAAGCAACAUGCUAUAACCCACAAACAGGUAGAAGUGUUUAUACAGCAAAUCAUUCAACUGGGAAACACAAAGAAAAGAAAUGAAAAAGACAACACUUCACAAGUGUACUACUCCUCAAACUUUUUGUGCAAAAAAAUGUCUUCCUUUCUCUGGGGAGGAAAACAUAACAGAAUCAAGAAAUCAGUAGUCUGUAAACCCUACGGGCUUAAAAUGUGUGACAUUUACUCUUUCUAUCAACAAUGAAACCUAGCUGGUUAAAAAGAAUCGAGCAAGACAACACCACUGCAAAGAUUCUCUUGACUAGUCAUUCCAUACUUAAAAACAUA